RNAcentral lists this long non-coding RNA (4423 nucleotides) under Homo sapiens (human). RNAcentral's name for it is "HSALNT0215369". The record is from RNAcentral. Lineage: Eukaryota; Metazoa; Chordata; Mammalia; Primates; Hominidae.
GUGAGAGAGCACCUGGCAGAGGGGAGGGCUGAAACAAGCCAGGGCCUGAAUGGAAACGGGCCCCUGGGCCAUUCAGGUGGCUGCAGCCUGAGGGAGGUCCGAGGCUGGGCAGGGGAGCACACAUACCGAGUUAGGAUAUCCCGGGCCAUUUGCUGCAUUCCAGUUGUUUCAGUGUGGCGCGCAGUUGAGUUGUCCUAGCAGGAAAUGCGUGGCUCUCUCGUGCCCUUCUUUGUGUCCAGGGCCUGAGCUUCUCCUCUGGGCCCUCCCUGAGGGCUAAAGGUGGCUCAGAGAUGGUGUCUCUCCUCCUGAGAAGCUUGAGUGGAUGAGGAGGGAGGCUGUUUCCUCUCCUGAGUAAGUCCUGGCUCCCCGAAGUGGCAAUGCCAAGUGCCAGCCCCGCAGUGCCGGGCAGUGGGAGAUGCAUGGACAGGCCCUAGGGCUCAGUCUCCCCUCUUGACGCUCCGGUACCCUGCUCAGCACACGGUUCCUAAUCCCUUAAUAAACCUCUCCUUAUCCUGCACCCCAGGAAGGCUUCAGGUUCAUGGCAAUGCAGAAAUAAUGAUUUGCCUGUAUUCACUGAUAUGAUUGAACUAACAAUAAGUUCACCCUUUCUGCAAGUCAGGAACUUGGGUCUGGAACGGAGCCGGUCUCCAGUUGCAGGACAGAUACCUUUCUGAGUGUAGCCAGGAGGUCUGUGUGAGGAGGGGGUUUUUGGUCCCUGUGUGGGUCUUCCUCGGACACCCCCAUCCCUGAAGGGAACCUACACCCUUCCAGGUGUGAAGUAAUGAAAGACCAGUAGUCAUUCAGCUCUAGCUGCAAAUGCCUGCUCUCUCACCUCUAAGCUGUGUAUCCUCGGGCAAGUCACCUGGCCUCUCUGUGCUUUCUGAGACUGUCCACUCAUGCCGCUAUCAAAGGGGUGAGAGAACUGAGAUUAAACUAGGGGAGGAGGCCGGGCAUGGUGGCUCACACCUGUAAUCCCAGCACUUUGGGAGGCCGGGGCAGAUGGAUCACCUGAGGUCAGGUGUUUAAGAGCAGCGUGGCCAACAUGGGGAAACCCCGUCUCUACUAAAAAUACAAAAAUUAGCCAGGUGUGGUGGCAGAUGUCUGUAGUCCCAGCUCCUCGGGAGGCUGAAGCAGGAGAAUCACUUGAACCUGGGAGGUGGAGGUUGCGUGAGCCAAGAUCAUGCCACUGCGCUGCAGCCUGGGUGACAGAGGGAGACUCUGUCUCAGGAAAAAAAAAAAAAACAAAAAAAACGAGGGGAGGUGCUGCUGGAAGUGCAGGGCCUAGAACAGAGGAUUACUUGGAAAAUUUUUGUUGACUCUGAAUCCUAAGACACUCUUCCACCUGGGAAUGAGAAUAGAUAGAUCAAUGAGAAGCGUGGGUUAUUGGCCGAUCAGAAGUGCCAGCUGUAGACGUUGGUUCAUCCACAUCAGGGUGAAAAUGAAAAUGCACUCUUGUCCCUUUCCCCUCUUUUUAAAAAGUUUCCCUACAACCCUCCAUAACUGUGGUGGAAAGAGUAUACAGCGAGGACGUAGGGACAUUUAGCUAGAAGCAUCCCAACCAGCCUCCUGCCUGAUAAUAACAACAAGAGCUAACAUUUAUGAUUGUUAUAAUAAACACUAACAUUGGUUAUGGCUGGGUACUGUGUAAGGUGUUCUCCCAGCAGCACCCCAUCCAUGCUCACACCAAUCCCCUGACCUGCGCCCUGGAUUCAUCCCUAUCUGGCAUAGAACGGAACUUUCUAGGAAACAGAGCUUGCCUGGCCACAUCAGCUCAGUAAAUGGCAGAGUUGAGACACAAACCCAGGCUGCCUCCCCCAAAACCCAAACCCACCAAAUUAGAUUGUCUUCCAAAUGCAGAAAUCCUCUCUGCAGCCCAACUUGGCCCAAUUCUCUAGGUUUUGGGAGAAAUACAUUUCCUCUCUUCCCGUAGCCUAAUUCGAAAACGAGGCAUCUUUCACUUCACAUUUCACAGCCGCAAUUCUUUCUUGCACAUAAAAUCUAUCCAUCCCGCUGGCCCCCUUCCCUCUUCUGGGCACAUUACAGGCUGUUGGCGUGUGUGUCUAAAUAAACACCCAUCAGCCUGGAUCCUUGCAGGCUGAUUCUAAACAUUUGGCUCCGAAGGGUAGCACUGGGGGCUUGUAAACCCUUCACCUUUCUCCCAGCACACUUCAAACAUUCCCCUUCUUGCAUCUAGGAAAACCAGAGCGGUUGGUUUCUCUCUCUACUCUUACACAGAACUUUGUGAAAACCUCUGUUAGACUGAAAUAACCUUCUUUAUUUCUGUCUUGCUCCUCAAGCUGAGAGUGUUUCUAGGUCAGGGUGGAGGGCCUGACAUUUACUGUCUCCUUGGUACUAGGCUCUGUGCCACACAUUACACACCUUGAUUUAUUCUUUUUAACAGGACCACGUGAAGUAUUAAUGGUCCCCCUUCACAAGUGAGGAACAAGAGGCUGAAAGGAGAGGCACAUUUUCUCAGAUAACGUGGCCACUUUGAGGCAGAGCUGAGAUUUCUGGCCCCCCCCUCACUGUGCUAGGGAGACCCUGUUCUAUUUAGCCCCAUCCGCCUGGAACCUCCAAAGGGCCUGGCACAGCUUUCCAGCAAAUGUUUGUUGACUGACCAACUGACUGACUGAAUAAAAGAAUGAAUGAGCAAGUGUCUAAUUUCCAGAAGAACUGUGGAGUGGGAGCUGUAAAGUGGUCCAGGUGCCUUGCUUAGAAGCACAAACUAGGCUGGAAGAAAACUAGCUAAUAGAGUUGCGGUCAGACAUGGAUUACACUUUUCCAAGCAUUGGAAUAUGGCAAUAUUAAUCAUGUUUCUACAAAUCGUCUUUUAUUUCUUCUUCUUUUUUUUGAGACGGGGUCUCACUGGAGUGCAGUGGUGUGAUCUUGGCUCACUGCAACCUCCGCCUCCUGGUUCAAGUGAUCCUCCCGCUUUAGCCUCUUGAGUAGCUGGGAUUACAGGUACAUGCCACCACGCCUGGCUAAUUUUUGUAUUUUCUGUAGACAUGAUGUCUCACUAUGUUGCCCAGGCUGGUCUCGAACUCCUGGACUCAAGCGAUCCGCCCGCCUCAGCCUCUCAAAGUGCCGGGAUUACAGGCAUGAGCCACCACGCCCAGCCCACCUUUUGUUUCUUCUCAUUCUGCAUAUGUGGAAUUUGCUGCAUCUGACAGACAACUGGGGAUUCUUUGAGCUGAAAGAGCUUCGUGAAGCUGCGGUAUCCAGCUCCCUGGCUGGACAGACGAGGAGGCCAAGGAGCAAAAAGAAGAGGUGACCUGUAGACUAUAUGAUCACCAGGCAAGCAAGGGGCGGGGCCCAACUCAUAGUCCUGCGCUCAUUUAGGGGUACAAGAGCCUUCAAGCUCCUUUAGUCAUUCAGCUUAUUUAUUUAUUCUAUUAAACACAACUAUAUUCUUAAUGUAUAUUAUUCAAGCCAUACAUAAUUAGUGGGAGCAAAAGGUGAAGUGUCCACUACUCUCCUCUCGAUGCCACUUCUGUUCUCGAUGCCACUUGACUACCGCAAUGAGACACCUGAAGCAAGAGGCAGAUGUGAUUGAGUUAAGGCUCUUGAGAUGGGGGAAUUAUUCUAGAUGCUCAGGUGGGCCCCAAAAUGUAAUCACCCGUGUCCUUAUCAGAAGGAGGCAGGGGUGGAUUUAACACUCUCACCCCUUUUGCUCAGCAUUUUAUAAACCUAUGUGUAUUUGCACAAAAGUAGGUUGGUGUUCUUUUCAUAGACAAGAUCAUACUGUACAUAUUGCUCUGCAAAUCGCUGUUUUUUUUGUUUUUCUCUCCUUUAACAUCUCAGAAAUCUUUCCACGCUGGUGUACUGACACACACACACUAUACAUAUACACACACACACUAUACAUAUAUACACACACUAUAAAUAUAUACACACACACUAUACAUAUAUACACACACACUAUACAUAUAUACACACACUAUACAUAUAUACACACACACAUACAUACAUACACACACACAUUGUAUAUAGAUCGUCCUCUUUCAUUUUAAUGCUUACAUAGUAUUCCACAAUAGUAAUAAACAUCAUUUAUUUACACUUCUCCAUUAUGAACAUUUAGCUCACUCCCACUUUUUUGAUACUAUUAAUACAAUCAGUGUUUCCAUGAAUACCAUAUACAAGCUAUUUGCAUGGAUGUUUGAGAAAGUCUCUAAGAUAGAUGCUGGGGAAUGAAUUUGCUGGAUCAAAGGGUAUGUGCAGUUUAAAUUUUAAUACGUGCUGCCCAAUUAUUCUCUAAAAGGACUGAAGUAAUUCACAUUCCCACCAGCAGUGUUAGAGGCUUUUCUAGGUAGGCAGACAACUUUGCUGAUGAUUUUAUAUCAAGGACUUCACUUUAAAAGAUUAUAUUUAGACACUAUCACGGGAUCUUUUAAAAACAAACCCUUAAAAUAUUAUGCAAUCAUCA